Molecule: unclassified non-coding RNA, 98 nt
Organism: Otolemur garnettii (small-eared galago)
Lineage: Eukaryota; Metazoa; Chordata; Mammalia; Primates; Galagidae
Rfam family: Y RNA
About the family: Y RNAs are components of the Ro ribonucleoprotein particle (Ro RNP), in association with Ro60 and La proteins. The Y RNAs and Ro60 and La proteins are well conserved, but the function of the Ro RNP is not known.
Source: Ensembl
GGCUUGUUUGCAGUAAUGUUUACAAUUAAUUGAUUACAACCAGUUACAGAUUCCUUUGUUCUUUCUCCACUCCCACUGCUUCACUUGACUAGCCUUAA